UUUCGAAACUGGGAAUUCCA
RNAcentral lists this small nuclear RNA (20 nucleotides) under Arabidopsis thaliana (thale cress). Its description in RNAcentral is "snRNA_12488". Lineage: Eukaryota; Viridiplantae; Streptophyta; Magnoliopsida; Brassicales; Brassicaceae. The record is from RNAcentral.